GAAGGCUCGCAUUAAAGAACAGGAUUAGAUACCCCAGUAUUCAGAGCAGACAAUGAUGAGUGUCAUAGAUAAGUAAAUAAUAUAUUAACUAGUUAAGCUAAUCAUAUUAUAUUGCAUAUGUAUAAAUGAAAGUGUAAGCACUCCACCUUAAGAGUAACAUGGCAACAUAGGAACUGAAAUCAUUAGACCGUUUCUGAAACCAGUAGUGAAGUAUGUUGUUUAGUAAUUUGAUGACCCACAAAGAACCUUACCACGGUUUGUAUAAGUUUUUUAAAAAGAAAUUUACAAGAGUUGCACGGCUGUCUUCNAGUUGAUAUCGUGAGAUUUUGGUUAGCUCCNAUUUAAUCAACGUAAACCCUUACUUUAUUUUUUAUAAAAGUGGUUCGCCGCUAUAUUGGCRAAAGAUAACAGGACU
This 415-nucleotide ribosomal RNA is filed under the name Porina chlorotica. RNAcentral describes it as "SSU rRNA". It matches the Rfam family "Bacterial small subunit ribosomal RNA", at positions 755 to 1158 of the family's 1533-position model. The record is from RNAcentral. Lineage: Eukaryota; Fungi; Ascomycota; Lecanoromycetes; Ostropales; Porinaceae.